UGAAGAGUUGAUCCUUGCUCAGGACGAACGCUGGCGGCGUGCCUAAUACAUGCAAGUCGAGCGAAUCGAUGGGAGCUUGCUCCCUGAGAUUAGCGGCGGACGGGUGAGUAACACGUGGGCAACCUGCCUAUAAGACUGGGAUAACUUCGGGAAACCGGAGCUAAUACCGGAUACGUUCUUUUCUCGCAUGAGAGAAGAUGGAAAGACGGUUUACGCUGUCACNUAUAGAUGGGCCCGCGGCGCAUUAGCUAGUUGGUGAGGUAAUGGCUCACCAAGGCGACGAUGCGUAGCCGANCCUGAGAGGGUGAUCGGCCACACUGGGACUGAGACACGGCCCAGACUCCUACGGGAGGCAGCAGUAGGGAAUCUUCCGCAAUGGACGAAAGUCUGACGGAGCAACGCCGCGUGAACGAAGAAGGCCUUCGGGUCGUAAAGUUCUGUUGUUAGGGAAGAACAAGUACCAGAGUAACUGCUGUACCUUACGUACCGACCAGAAAGCCACGC
RNAcentral lists this ribosomal RNA (504 nucleotides) under Lysinibacillus macroides. RNAcentral's name for it is "bacterial SSU rRNA". It matches the Rfam family "Bacterial small subunit ribosomal RNA", at positions 1 to 496 of the family's 1533-position model. Lineage: Bacteria; Bacillati; Bacillota; Bacilli; Caryophanales; Bacillaceae. The record is from RNAcentral.